This 325-nucleotide long non-coding RNA is filed under the name Phoenix dactylifera (date palm). Its description in RNAcentral is "long non-coding RNA (PDAC_LNC013958)". The record is from RNAcentral. Lineage: Eukaryota; Viridiplantae; Streptophyta; Magnoliopsida; Arecales; Arecaceae.
GUAUCCAAUUUCCUUCGAACCGAACUAGCUUUUCAUCACCCACAGACUCCCCAGCUUCAGCCGUUCAUCCCUAUCCCAUGCACUCAAUCCUUUCCGCAAAACAAGCAUUCAACAUCUUCAUCUCCCAUGGAUAAGAAUCCAAGAUCAUCCCCUGUUCCAUGUCCUUCCCUCCCAUGUCCAAAGAACAAGAACAGAUUCCUUCUUCCGGAUUUCUCCGUGUUCAUCCUCGUCCUUCCCUUCCGCAUCCAAAGCUUCCACGUCAUCCUUUCCUCCCCUGUUUUAGAUUCAAAAUAGAGCUAAUCUCCCGUGGAUCAACAUCUUCUAA